UUUAUGGAGAGUUUGAUCCUGGCUCAGGAUGAACGCUGGCGGCGUGCCUAAUACAUGCAAGUCGAGCGAACGGACGAGAAGCUUGCUUCUCUGAUGUUAGCGGCGGACGGGUGAGUAACACGUGGAUAACCUACCUAUAAGACUGGGAUAACUUCGGGAAACCGUAGCUAAUACCGGAUAAUAUUUUGAACCGCAUGGUUCAAAAGUGAAAGACGGUCUUGCUGUCACUUAUAGAUGGAUCCGCGCUGCAUUAGCUAGUUGGUAAGGUAACGGCUUACCAAGGCAACGAUGCAUAGCCGACCUGAGAGGGUGAUCGGCCACACUGGAACUGAGACACGGUCCAGACUCCUACGGGAGGCAGCAGUAGGGAAUCUUCCGCAAUGGGCGAAAGCCUGACGGAGCAACGCCGCGUGAGUGAUGAAGGUCUUCGGAUCGUAAAACUCUGUUAUUAGGGAAGAACAUAUGUGUAAGUAACUGUGCACAUCUUGACGGUACCUAAUCAGAAAGCCACGGCUAACUACGUGCCAGCAGCCGCGGUAAUACGUAGGUGGCAAGCGUUAUCCGGAAUUAUUGGGCGUAAAGCGCGCGUAGGCGGUUUUUUAAGUCUGAUGUGAAAGCCCACGGCUCAACCGUGGAGGGUCAUUGGAAACUGGAAAACUUGAGUGCAGAAGAGGAAAGUGGAAUUCCAUGUGUAGCGGUGAAAUGCGCAGAGAUAUGGAGGAACACCAGUGGCGAAGGCGACUUUCUGGUCUGUAACUGACGCUGAUGUGCGAAAGCGUGGGGAUCAAACAGGAUUAGAUACCCUGGUAGUCCACGCCGUAAACGAUGAGUGCUAAGUGUUAGGGGGUUU
RNAcentral lists this ribosomal RNA (850 nucleotides) under Staphylococcus aureus. RNAcentral describes it as "bacterial SSU rRNA". It matches the Rfam family "Bacterial small subunit ribosomal RNA", at positions 1 to 833 of the family's 1533-position model. The record is from RNAcentral. Lineage: Bacteria; Bacillati; Bacillota; Bacilli; Caryophanales; Staphylococcaceae.